UACGUAGGUGGCAAGCGUUGUCCGGAGUUAUUGGGCGUAAAGCGCGCGCAGGCGGUGCGGUAAGUCUCUGGUGAAAGCGCUCGGCUUAACUGGGCGAGGGCCGGGGAGACUGCCACGCUGGAGGGGAGCAGAGGCGAGUGGAAUUCCGGGUGUAGUGGUGAAAUGCGUAGAGAUCCGGAGGAACACCAGUGGCGAAGGCGGCUCGCUGGGCUCUCCCUGACGCUGAGGCGCGAAAGCGUGGGGAGCGAACCGG
This 253-nucleotide ribosomal RNA is filed under the name uncultured bacterium. RNAcentral describes it as "partial 16S ribosomal RNA". It matches the Rfam family "Bacterial small subunit ribosomal RNA", at positions 524 to 776 of the family's 1533-position model. The record is from RNAcentral.